Molecule: long non-coding RNA, 319 nt
Filed under: Manihot esculenta (cassava)
Lineage: Eukaryota; Viridiplantae; Streptophyta; Magnoliopsida; Malpighiales; Euphorbiaceae
Description: long non-coding RNA (MESC_LNC001564)
Source: RNAcentral
CCCCGUAGUGGGUUGUCUCUUUUCACGGGCUACAAGGAUUCCAUAAAGGGAUGGGUUGAGAAUUUCCUUGUGGCGGAGCUGAAAUUAGAAUCCGCCUUAUCAUGGGAAGUGGAUCUAAGUUGGGAGGAUGUUCCUCCGGGCUGCAAUGACCUGCCCCGAUUGAGCCUUAUUGAGCAGGUGGGGUUGCUUCGACUGACUUCUGUUGAGAGGAAGUAUGACGUCGAGAAGUGUAUGUUCGUGUCUAAUCUUAGGGAUAUCCGGGACACGGGUAUAGUGCCUCGUCCAGUGAUUCUGUUUCUUCUUUGUAAAUGAUAUUAUA